ACAACGUUCGGGCCGUUGGUCUACCGAGCGAUUUCACCCAAUCGCUAGAAUAUCUUCCCUUUGUCGU
This 67-nucleotide microRNA precursor is filed under the name Bombyx mori (domestic silkworm). RNAcentral's name for it is "mir-2774 microRNA precursor family". It matches the Rfam family "mir-2774 microRNA precursor family". The record is from Rfam by way of RNAcentral. Lineage: Eukaryota; Metazoa; Arthropoda; Insecta; Lepidoptera; Bombycidae.